UACUGAACAGCUAGUCCAAAUAAUUAAUUAAAAGUUGUAGCUAACUAAAACUUAAUAACCUAAAAGACAAAAAUAAAUCAUUCUUCCACUCUAGUACGUGAGACAGAAAAAGAUCCAGGAACAAUAGAAAAAGUACCGUAAGGGAAAGCUGAAAGAGAAAUGAAAAAACCCAGUAAAGUUGACAUAAGCAGAGACUAAAACUCGUACCUUUUGCAUCAUGAAUUAGCAAGUCACAUCAAGCAAAAUGAAUUAUAGUUUGAACCCCCGAAACUUGAUGAGCUACUUCAAGACAGCCUUUGAUUAGGGCAAACUCGUCUCUGUGGCAAAAGAGUGAGAAGAUCUUUAAGUAGAGGUGACAGACCUAUCGAAUCGAGUUAUAGCUGGUUACUCAUGAAAUGAAUAGAAGUUCAGCCUCUAGCCUCCUAAAGACAAACUUAUUGAAAUUUAUACCGUCAAAUAGAGAAGACUAGAGAGUUAGUCAAAGAGGGUACAGCCUAUUUGACCUAGGAUACAACUUUAAUAGAAGGAUAAGGAUCAUAAUUAAUAAGACCCUGUGUUGAGGUGGGCCUAAGAGCAGCCAUCCUUAAUGAUAGCGUUAAAGCUCAAGCACAUUAUAGGUCAAUAAUUUUGGUAACUAAUCUUAAUCCUCUUAAAUUAAUGAGUCAUUACAUACCAUGAAAGAGAUUAUGCUAGUAUGAGUAAUAAGAGGCACAAUUAACCUCUCCAAGCACAAGUGUAAGUCGGAACGAACCAAUCACCGAAUAUUAACGGCCCCAAACAAAGAGAGUAAGUCAAAUUAAUUAGUUAUCAAGAAAACUCUGACAUACUAACCGUUAUCCCUACACAGGAGUGCUGCACGUGGAAAGAUAAAAAGGAGGAAAAGGAACUCGGCAAACAUGCAUAAGCCUCGCCUGUUUACCAAAAACAUCGCCUCUUGUGAACUAAAAAUAAGAGGUACCGCCUGCCCUGUGACAUAAUGUUUAACGGCCGCGGUAUUUUGACCGUGCAAAGGUAGCGCAAUCACUUGCCUUUUAAAUGAAGGCCUGUAUGAAUGGCAAAACGAGGGCUUAACUGUCUCUUUCUCCGUAUCAAUGAAAUUGAUCUCCCCGUGCAGAAGCGGGGAUGUCACCAUAAGACGAGAAGACCCUGUGGAGCUUUAGACUCCCGACAGUCCAUGCAUAGGAGAAAAAAUAAACAACUCAAACUAAUUGAAAACUGUCUUAAUGUCUUUGGUUGGGGCGACCGCGGGGUAACAAACAACCCCCAUGUGGACUAAGAAUAUAUUCUUACAUCUAAGAGCCACCACUCUAAGAACCAGAAUAUCUGACCUUCAGUGAUUCCGGACUUCCGAUCAACGAACCUAGUUACCCCAGGGAUAACAGCGCAAUCCUCUUUUAGAGCCCAUAUCGACAAGAGGGUUUACGACCUCGAUGUUGGAUCAGGACAUCCUAAUGGUGCAGCCGCUAUUAAGGGUUUGUUUGUUCAACAAUUAAAGUCCUACGUGAUCUGAGUUCAGACCGGAGAAAUCCAGGUCAGUUUCUAUCUAUGAUGUUUCUCCUUCUAGUACGAAAGGACCGAAGAAGAAGGGCCAAUGAUUAACCAGCCAUCUAACCUGACCUGAUGAAACAAACUAAAGAAGGUAAAAGGUUGCACCCGGUAAUCAUAGACAAUGAUGU
This 1676-nucleotide ribosomal RNA is filed under the name Oryzias uwai. RNAcentral's name for it is "16S ribosomal RNA". The stretch from base 94 to 1569 matches the Rfam family "Bacterial large subunit ribosomal RNA". The record is from RNAcentral. Lineage: Eukaryota; Metazoa; Chordata; Actinopteri; Beloniformes; Adrianichthyidae.